CCGAGUUAGGGUCUCUCCCACGAGGCCCGACCUCCCAACCCUGUGUUUACCCAACCCAAACGUGUUGCUUCGGCGGACCGGGACGCCCGUAACUGGGGGUCACCGCCGGGGGAACGCCCGCGAGGGCUGCCCCUGGAGAGUCGUCCGUCGAUGGCCCAACCAACCAAAAUUCUAUACCACAAAAUAUUGUCACGAUUCUGAAUCACAACCUUUGAUGUAACAAUCAAUUAAAAACA
RNAcentral lists this unclassified non-coding RNA (236 nucleotides) under uncultured Eurotiomycetes. Its description in RNAcentral is "sequence contains ITS1". The record is from RNAcentral. Lineage: Eukaryota; Fungi; Ascomycota; Eurotiomycetes.